This is a long non-coding RNA of Varroa destructor (honeybee mite), 857 nucleotides long. RefSeq lists it as uncharacterized. The record is from RefSeq and is a predicted model, not a curated record. NCBI's taxonomy places the organism in Eukaryota, Metazoa, Arthropoda, Arachnida, Mesostigmata, Varroidae.
GACGACUUUCUCGCAAACCUCUGCUGGUAAUGACUAGCAGCGUGAGGUAGAAUAAGGUAGCAAGUAAACUCUAAGCUGAUACGAGCUAGGAGCUAAAACAACUCUGCCUGAUAUGUACGGAAACAGCAACUGUAGUUAUAACGAUUCUAGCUUGACUAGUAAGAUAUUUGUUAUAUUUGAUACAGUAAGGACCAUUUUUUGAGCCACUUCGAUUUCCGAGCUAUGUUGUGGUUACUGUGUGAAGUGAAACUGCCGUGAUGCACAGGAGCCCUUGAUAACCAUAUACAUCAGCAGACUUAGAUCGGUAGAAACCACGAUAGCCUACGUCACGAGCCGGAGGCCUGCUGUUAUUGCAUGAUGAUCGCUCAGACUGGUUGUAUCGGUUUUCUCCAAGUCGUUCCCGUGCCUGCCCCAGCUCGAUUCUUGCUUAUAUAGUGAUCGUACCUCAGCAGGAAACAAUGCAUAUGACUCAAUUACGAAAGCAGCAGUGACAGUAUCAGCAACAAGGAAGUGAAAAAUAAGGAAAAAAGGACCGGGCCGGACAGCAAAAAGAGACAUUGUAGAUCGUCGGAAUAGGUCAGAAAAAUUAUCUGAAACUGAACAGAACGAGAUUGAAAAAGUAAUUUACUUUUAGCGUUCUAACAACGGCACCUACCUCUCAUGUUACGGUGGACCUGCAGGUGAGGCAAAGGGGUGGGCCUGUUGCUCGUUACGCAGCUCGUUUCGCGGCAUCUGAGAAAAGGAAAUCGAUAAGAGAUUAAAAUGAAAUACUUCCACAUCGAUACCUUCUGAGAACUCGAGGAAGCGCUCCGGACGACCAGCGUCUGCAUCGUGUCGGAGACAUGACGCCGUUUCGG